CUUGACGAGUUCAUCCAAGCACCAUGACGAACGAGCAUAGUUCCGUGAGAGAAUGACAAUCGCAGAUCUAGAAUCCUCAAUUGCAGCUAAAAGUUCGGGCCUAAUGGAUUUUCCUCUCUCAAGCUCUGCGUCGUCCCGAAAGCGCAAGUACUGUAGAUCACAUGUAUUGGCACGUGAUGCAUCGAUAACUCCCACAACCCGUAGUCGCCGGUUUCCUCACACGUGAGGACAUUUGUUUUGUUUUCACAAGUUGAUACUUGACAUCCCCAUCAACAUCACGAUUUCAAUUCGAAAUUGAAGCCUCAAUCAAGCAACGGAGCAAUUGAUAAGUCUGGUAUUGCCGAUUUUCGAAUCUGGUGAUCUCAUUCUCAAAUUUUUAGACAGAACCCGAACCGGACUGCCCGCGUUGUCCUUAUCGUUUUCUUGUUCCUUCUUUCACCGCGUCCUCGCUCUCUCUCAUUGCUUCUUUUCUCUGAGUGGCAAGGAGUCCUGGACAAUUCUUGAAACCUAAAUCAAGGCAAAAAUUGAUAUCAAGGACAACUCUGUAUCGUCAAAGGGUCUCCUCCAAUAUCAUUUGCUAGAGCCAUUUGGAAUUGAUAUCUGCUGGAAAUUGAUGUCUGUUUUGGGUUUGCCCAGGGUCCUCUAAAUAUCAUCACCAUCUAGGCCAGGUUUCUGCAGCUAAUAGGGAAUGAGAAACACUUUGCAUGAUUUAAUUUUUUGGGAAUUUACUUUGCUGCAUAAUGAGGUGUGUCUUUCUUUCUAUUGCAUCAUCUUUUUCGCAGUGUAUUAUUAUUUUCCUAGUUUGAGAUUUUCAAAUCUGAGAAAUUUAAUCAUCCUAAAAGUAGUUUGGCAAAUUUAUGAUGAAAUUGAGCAAAGUAGGAAAACUAAUAACCAUUUCUGUAAAGUUUACUCUCAAAACUCAAACUCUAAUGCAUGAGAUACCCAUCACUCAAGCACCAUUUAUCAGCACCAUGCAUGUGUUUAUUUAUAUAUGACUAGAAGGACAAUGAGUCCAUGUACAGAUCCGUGAGUACCAUAGGAGACAUCCAGCUGCACUAGUUGUUGAUGCCAAUGAGGAACAUGAAGCACUGCUCAAAGAAAAAGCCUCAAGUUGAGUUCAGUGGAGAGGUUGUAGCUGAGGGACGCGAUCUUAUUACAAAAGAAACUGCUGACAGGAUGUCUUUUCUGCUGAUUAAUUUGUCAGAACCAAUGAAACGGUGAACUCAAGUACCAUUUGAAAUUGCUAGUAAUAGCUGGUCAGCCAUACGGCAGUGAUAUUGUCCUCUUGGUUAAUGAAACUAGCUACUAUUUUGUGUCAACUAUUUUUAUCUUCUUUUAAAUUUUUAUGAAUGCUUUUGACAUAAUUGUCAAUUUAGGCAUAGACGAAAGCUUAUGAUGGGCUCAAGGAAUGCAAGUACAGCCUCUAGUCUGUCACCAAGCUGAUUUCUCUUUCUUUUAUUUCUUUUCUUUUUUUGGUCAUUAGAUAAGACCAAAAUGGUUUCUAAUUUUCUGUUUUGGUGUUAUAAAACAAUGUUUAGCAAAGUCAUCUUUGGUGCAAAAAAUGAUCUUUAUAUGAUGUAAAAAUAUAUUGAUAUGUGAUUGUUAUCAA
Long non-coding RNA from Rosa rugosa (rugosa rose), 1609 nucleotides. RefSeq lists it as uncharacterized. The transcript is spliced from 5 exons. The record is from RefSeq and is a predicted model, not a curated record. Lineage: Eukaryota; Viridiplantae; Streptophyta; Magnoliopsida; Rosales; Rosaceae.